Molecule: long non-coding RNA, 250 nt
Filed under: Arachis ipaensis
Lineage: Eukaryota; Viridiplantae; Streptophyta; Magnoliopsida; Fabales; Fabaceae
Description: long non-coding RNA (AIPA_LNC001510)
Source: RNAcentral
CUUCCUCUUCACCAGAAAAGUAGGAUUCAUUAUUGAGUUCAUCAAGGUAGCUCUUGAGGAUGUGUAUGCUUGAAUUUUCUUAAGGCCAAUUCUUGUUUACUUUCUUGCCUCCAUUGGAGUUUAGUGCUUGUAAUCAUUAAGUCAAUAAGAGAUAACACUUCUUGAAUCAAAUCUUUGACAAUGCCUACAAGAAUCUUCAGCUUUGAACCUUUGGUAGGCUUCUCGGAUCAAUAGGCAAGUCUGGGAUAGU